CUUGUGGUGACAUGAGAGGCAGGGUAAACCCCAUCCGGAGCAAGGCCAAAUAGGGAGAUGUUCGAGGGCUGCCCGUCCGAAGUCUCCGGGUAGGCCGCAAGAGGCGGCGGGCGACCGUCGUCCCAGUUAAAUGAUCAUGACCGUUACGGUACAGAAUUCGGCUUAUAGCCCGCUCCUCUCA
This 181-nucleotide RNase P RNA is filed under the name Desulfofustis sp. RNAcentral's name for it is "partial RNase P RNA component class A". It matches the Rfam family "Bacterial RNase P class A", at positions 183 to 367 of the family's 367-position model. From Rfam's summary of the family: Ribonuclease P (RNase P) is a ubiquitous endoribonuclease, found in archaea, bacteria and eukarya as well as chloroplasts and mitochondria. Its best characterised activity is the generation of mature 5'-ends of tRNAs by cleaving the 5'-leader elements of precursor-tRNAs. The record is from RNAcentral. Lineage: Bacteria; Pseudomonadati; Thermodesulfobacteriota; Desulfobulbia; Desulfobulbales; Desulfocapsaceae.